AUUGAACGCUGGCGGCAUGCCUUACACAUGCAAGUCGAACGGCAGCGGGGGAGAAGCUUGCUUUUCCUGCCGGCGAGUGGCGAACGGGUGAGUAAUACGUCGGAACGUGCCCUGUAGUGGGGGAUAACGAGUCGAAAGAUUAGCUAAUACCGCAUACGACCUGAGGGUGAAAGUGGGGGACCGCAAGGCCUCAUGCUAUAGGAGCGGCCGAUGUCUGAGUAGCUAGUUGGUGGGGUAAAGGCCUACCAAGGCGACGAUCAGUAGCUGGUCUGAGAGGACGAUCAGCCACACUGGGACUGAGACACGGCCCAGACUCCUACGGGAGGCAGCAGUGGGGAAUUUUGGACAAUGGGCGAAAGCCUGAUCCAGCAAUGCCGCGUGUGUGAAGAAGGCCUUCGGGUUGUAAAGCACUUUUGCCCGGAAAGAAAUGGCUCUGGUUAAUACCUGGGGUCGAUGACGGUACCGGAAGAAUAAGGACCGGCUAACUACGUGCCAGCAGCCGCCGCAG
This 508-nucleotide ribosomal RNA is filed under the name uncultured bacterium. Its description in RNAcentral is "partial 16S ribosomal RNA". It matches the Rfam family "Bacterial small subunit ribosomal RNA", at positions 29 to 523 of the family's 1533-position model. The record is from RNAcentral.